GGUUGUGUAGUGUAGCGGUUAGCACGUGGGAUUUUGAGCAGCCUUCAGUGGCAUACACCAACAUUCCUGAGACCCCGGUUCGAGCCCGGGCACGACCU
Molecule: transfer RNA, 98 nt
Filed under: Xylariaceae sp. FL1651
Lineage: Eukaryota; Fungi; Ascomycota; Sordariomycetes; Xylariales; Xylariaceae
Description: tRNA-Gln
Rfam family: tRNA
About the family: Transfer RNA (tRNA) molecules are approximately 80 nucleotides in length. Their secondary structure includes four short double-helical elements and three loops (D, anti-codon, and T loops).
Source: RNAcentral